AAUCCAUGUACUGGACAUUUCUAAAGUAAUUCUUUAAAUUGUUUUCAAGCUUCAUAUAGCGUUUCAUCCUCCUAUUGUCGAAAAGACGUGAUGUCAUUUCUAAGCUU
Gossypium hirsutum (cotton) is the source of this 107-nucleotide non-coding RNA. NCBI's taxonomy places the organism in Eukaryota, Viridiplantae, Streptophyta, Magnoliopsida, Malvales, Malvaceae. The record is from Rfam.